RNAcentral lists this ribosomal RNA (161 nucleotides) under Plasteurhynchium meridionale. RNAcentral describes it as "5.8S ribosomal RNA". It matches the Rfam family "5.8S ribosomal RNA". Rfam says of the family: 5.8S ribosomal RNA (5.8S rRNA) is a component of the large subunit of the eukaryotic ribosome. It is transcribed by RNA polymerase I as part of the 45S precursor that also contains 18S and 28S rRNA. Lineage: Eukaryota; Viridiplantae; Streptophyta; Bryopsida; Hypnales; Brachytheciaceae. The record is from RNAcentral.
AAAACAACUCUCAGCAACGGAUAUCUUGGCUCUUGCAACGAUGAAGAACGCAGCGAAAUGCGAUACGUAGUGUGAAUUGCAGAAUUCCGCGAAUCAUCAAGUCUUUGAACGCAAGUUGCGCCCGAGGCUUGUCCGAGGGCAUUUCCGCUAGAGCGUCACCG